RNAcentral lists this microRNA precursor (61 nucleotides) under Lepisosteus oculatus (spotted gar). RNAcentral's name for it is "Loc-Mir-1-P3_pre stem-loop". It matches the Rfam family "mir-1 microRNA precursor family", at positions 10 to 70 of the family's 79-position model. Rfam says of the family: This family represents the microRNA (miRNA) mir-1 family. miRNAs are transcribed as ~70nt precursors (modelled here) and subsequently processed by the Dicer enzyme to give a ~22nt product. In this case the mature sequence comes from the 3' arm of the precursor. The extents of the hairpin precursors are not generally known and are estimated based on hairpin prediction. Lineage: Eukaryota; Metazoa; Chordata; Actinopteri; Semionotiformes; Lepisosteidae. The record is from RNAcentral.
ACAUACUUCUUUAUAUGCCCAUAUGAACAAGACCAGCUAUGGAAUGUAAAGAAGUAUGUAU